GGUUGCUUCUGGAAGACUGAAAUUGCGCCAAAAAAACUGUGAGAUGUUUGUGCUGUUUAUGUUUAGCAGCUGGCUUGUUUUGGAAUAUCUGUCCAGCUCAAAAAUGGCUCCAGCGGUUAGAAACAGGUGAUGGCAUGGCAGAAUGGCUUUAUGGAAACUUCAAGCAUAUGACCGCUUAAUUUUCUUCCACAAGGCUGUGAGACCAGUUUGCAGGUGAUGCUAAAGUUUUCAGAUCUACAGCACCAGGUGACAUACAGCCAACACUUAGUGUCUAGCUUAUUGUCAAAAGAAAUGUCUGUGCCUCCUUUGUUAAACCAGAUCUAGCAAUGUGAAGUGAGAGGCCAUAAUAUACAGAGAGGUCUUCACCUCAACUGCGUCUGCUGACACCCAGGCUGCAAGUUGGUAAGGACAGAGACUGGGGCUACUGUUGCCUUUCCCAUAUAUUAGAUUCAAUUUUGUAACAAACUGCUUUAUAAAUUAUAAAGCAGAAACCUUAAUGCUGCUGUUAAGCUAAGGUUUUAUGAUUUGAUGUUUGAUCAUUUGCCAUAACAAAGGCAGGAGGAGGUAUACAUUGUAUUCUGUGUUUGACAACUGUGUUUAUAGGCGGUGGGGACAGUGCGGCCGACUGCUCUCACCACCUGUGAUCAUGGAAAGCUAGGCAGAUUCCAAUCUGUACCUCCAAAUGCCUUUUUGGCUUUUUUUUUUCUUCCUUGGUCUAUUGUGAAUGUAUAUCUCUCCUGUGCAUCUCCCAUUAACAUUUGUUUAAGGUUAUCCGGUCAAGCUGCUGUUUGCUGCAUGAAAAGGACACCUCUGCUGCUCAAGAUCUGCUACGUCAUUCUUCUGCACAAGAUGAGACUUCGCUGGGACACCAUUCAAGUAUGACGAGGAUUCAACCAGAUUCAUCCGUGUUCAGAACGCUACGUUGAUAUAUAUGUAUAAUGUUUGAUUAUUAUUCUUUAUAAAGUUAUAAUUUGUAGUAUGGUAACUGAACACCUUGAAUUUUGUGUCUGCUGAAGUGUUCACGGAUAGUGAGAGUAGAGUGCGGCUGCUCUCACUGUCUGAUCAUGGGAACUAAUCAGAUUUCAGUCUGUUUGGUUAUCUAUUGUACAAUAUUUUUAUAAUUUAUGUAUGAUUGUUCUGUAUAAUAUAUUAUGUAUAUGUAUUUUAAUAUGUAUGUUCUAUAUAAUAUGUAUGUUCUAUAUAUUAUGUAUAUGUAUUUUCUAUAUAUAUUAUGUACAAUAUGUACUAUAUGUUAUGUAUAAACCUGGCUAAUUAAUAAAAUGCUAAUAAAGUGUUUCUGAUAUCUGUUCUAUUAAUAAAGCUGUGACUUAUCUUA
Molecule: long non-coding RNA, 1336 nt
Organism: Bombina bombina (fire-bellied toad)
Lineage: Eukaryota; Metazoa; Chordata; Amphibia; Anura; Bombinatoridae
Exons: 4
Source: RefSeq, a predicted model, not a curated record